AGGACGAACGCUGGCGGCGUGCUUAACACAUGCAAGUCGAGCGGAAAGGCCCUUCGGGGUACUCGAGCGGCGAACGGGUGAGUAACACGUGAGUAAUCUGCCCCUAGCUCUGGGAUAGCUCCGGGAAACCGGGAUUAAUACCGGAUACGACCACCUUAGACAUCUUUUGUGGUGGAAAGAAUUUCGGCUAGGGAUGAGCUCGCGGCCUAUCAGCUUGUUGGUGGGGUAACGGCCUACCAAGGCGACGACGGGUAGCCGGCCUGAGAGGGCGACGGCCACGACGUGGGACUGAGACACGGCCCAGACUCCUACGGGAGGCAGCAGUGGGGAAUAUUGGACAAUGGGCGCAAGCCUGAUCCAGCAAUGCCGCGUGAGUGAUGAAGGCCUUAGGGUUGUAAAGCUCUUUCGCCCGCGACGAUGAUGACGGUAGCGGGAGAAGAACGCCCCGGCUAACUUCGUGCCAGCAGCCGC
This 471-nucleotide ribosomal RNA is filed under the name uncultured bacterium. RNAcentral's name for it is "SSU rRNA". It matches the Rfam family "Bacterial small subunit ribosomal RNA", at positions 26 to 518 of the family's 1533-position model. The record is from RNAcentral.